UACGUAGGGUGCGAGCGUUAAUCGGAAUUACUGGGCGUAAAGCGCACGUAGGCGGUUUUUUAAGUCAGAUGUGAAAGCCCCGGGCUCAACCGGGGAAUUGCAUUUGAAACUGGGAAACUAGAGUGUGUGAGAGGGGGGUAGAAUUCCAAGUGUAGCGGUGAAAUGCGUAGAGAUUUGGAGGAAUACCAGUGGCGAAGGCGGCCCCCUGGCACAACACUGACGCUCAGGUGCGAAAGCGUGGGGAGCAAACAGG
Molecule: ribosomal RNA, 253 nt
Filed under: uncultured bacterium
Lineage: Bacteria
Description: partial 16S ribosomal RNA
Rfam family: Bacterial small subunit ribosomal RNA
Source: RNAcentral